RNAcentral lists this ribosomal RNA (627 nucleotides) under Pseudomonas sp. LCH4. RNAcentral's name for it is "bacterial SSU rRNA". It matches the Rfam family "Bacterial small subunit ribosomal RNA", at positions 72 to 695 of the family's 1533-position model. Lineage: Bacteria; Pseudomonadati; Pseudomonadota; Gammaproteobacteria; Pseudomonadales; Pseudomonadaceae. The record is from RNAcentral.
AGAGGAGCUUGCUUCUCUUGAGAGCGGCGGACGGGUGAGUAAUGCCUAGGAAUCUGCCUAGUGGUGGGGGAUAACGUUCGGAAACGGACGCUAAUACCGCAUACGUCCUACGGGAGAAAGCGGGGGAUCUUCGGACCUCGCGCCAUUAGAUGAGCCUAGGUCGGAUUAGCUAGUUGGUGAGGUAAUGGCUCACCAAGGCGACGAUCCGUAACUGGUCUGAGAGGAUGAUCAGUCACACUGGAACUGAGACACGGUCCAGACUCCUACGGGAGGCAGCAGUGGGGAAUAUUGGACAAUGGGCGAAAGCCUGAUCCAGCCAUGCCGCGUGUGUGAAGAAGGUCUUCGGAUUGUAAAGCACUUUAAGUUGGGAGGAAGGGUUGUAGAUUAAUACUCUGCAAUUUUGACGUUACCGACAGAAUAAGCACCGGCUAACUUCGUGCCAGCAGCCGCGGUAAUACGAAGGGUGCAAGCGUUAAUCGGAAUUACUGGGCGUAAAGCGCGCGUAGGUGGUUCGUUAAGUUGGAUGUGAAAGCCCCGGGCUCAACCUGGGAACUGCAUCCAAAACUGGCGAGCUAGAGUACGGUAGAGGGUGGUGGAAUUUCCUGUGUAGCGGUGAAAUGCGUAGAU